UACGUUCCCGGGCCUUGUACACACCGCCCGUCACACCACGAAAGUCGGCAACACCCGAAGCCGGUGGCCCAACCCGCAGGGGAGGGAGCCGUCGAAGGUGGGGUCGGUGAUUGGGGUG
RNAcentral lists this ribosomal RNA (118 nucleotides) under uncultured bacterium. Its description in RNAcentral is "partial 16S ribosomal RNA". It matches the Rfam family "Bacterial small subunit ribosomal RNA", at positions 1367 to 1482 of the family's 1533-position model. The record is from RNAcentral.